Molecule: ribosomal RNA, 58 nt
Filed under: uncultured bacterium
Lineage: Bacteria
Description: partial 16S ribosomal RNA
Source: RNAcentral
GUCGGAUCCCGCCGCUGCAGAGUUUGAUCCUGGCUCAGGAUAAGUCGUAACAAGGUAA